CCUACGGGAGGCAGCAGUGGGGAAUAUUGGACAAUGGGGGCAACCCUGAUCCAGCCAUGCCGCGUGUGUGAAGAAGGCCCUCGGGUUGUAAAGCACUUUCAGUGAGGAAGAACGCCUGGUGGUUAAUACCCAUCAGGAAAGAUAUCACUCACAGAAGAAGCACCGGCUAACUCCGUGCCAGCAGCCGCGGUAAUACGGAGGGUGCGAGCGUUAAUCGGAAUUACUGGGCGUAAAGCGCGCGUAGGUGGCUUGAUAAGCCGGUUGUGAAAGCCCCGGGCUCAACCUGGGAACGGCAUCCGGAACUGUCAAGCUAGAGUGCAGGAGAGGAAGGUAGAAUUCCCGGUGUAGCGGUGAAAUGCGUAGAGAUCGGGAGGAAUACCAGUGGCGAAGGCGGCCUUCUGGACUGACACUGACACUGAGGUGCGAAAGCGUGGGUAGCAAACAGGAUUAGAUACCCGUGUAGUC
Molecule: ribosomal RNA, 465 nt
Filed under: Vreelandella stevensii
Lineage: Bacteria; Pseudomonadati; Pseudomonadota; Gammaproteobacteria; Oceanospirillales; Halomonadaceae
Description: partial 16S ribosomal RNA
Rfam family: Bacterial small subunit ribosomal RNA
Source: RNAcentral